AGUGAACGCUGGCGGUAGGCCUAACACAUGCAAGUCGAACGGCAGCACAGUAAGAGCUUGCUCUUACGGGUGGCGAGUGGCGGACGGGUGAGGAAUACAUCGGAAUCUACUUUUUCGUGGGGGAUAACGUGGGGAAACUUACGCUAAUACCGCAUACGACCUACGGGUGAAAGCAGGGGAUCUUCGGACCUUGCGCGAUUGAAUGAGCCGAUGUCGGAGUAGCUAGUUGGCGGGGUAAAGGCCCACCAAGGCGACGAUCCGUAGCUGGUCUGAGAGGAUGAUCAGCCACACUGGAACUUAGACACGGUCCAGACUCCUACGGGAGGCAGCAGUGUGGAAUAUUGGACAAUGGGCGCAAGCCUGAUCCAGCCAUACCGCGUGGGUGAAGAAGGCCUUCGGGUUGUAAAGCCCUUUUGUUGGGAAAGAAAAGCAGCAGGUUAAUACCCCGCUGUUCUGACGGUACCCAAAGAAUAAGCACCGGCUAACUUCGUG
This 492-nucleotide ribosomal RNA is filed under the name uncultured bacterium. Its description in RNAcentral is "partial 16S ribosomal RNA". It matches the Rfam family "Bacterial small subunit ribosomal RNA", at positions 29 to 507 of the family's 1533-position model. The record is from RNAcentral.